This 2260-nucleotide ribosomal RNA is filed under the name Citreicella sp. SE45. RNAcentral describes it as "bacterial LSU rRNA". It matches the Rfam family "Bacterial large subunit ribosomal RNA", at positions 589 to 2925 of the family's 2925-position model. The record is from RNAcentral. Lineage: Bacteria; Pseudomonadati; Pseudomonadota; Alphaproteobacteria; Rhodobacterales; Roseobacteraceae.
CGGAGUGACGGCGUACCUUUUGUAUAAUGGGUCAUCGACUUGGUCUAUCUAGCAAGCUUAAGCCGUUAGGUGUAGGCGCAGCGAAAGCGAGUCUUAAUAGGGCGUUGAGUUAGAUGGAUCAGACCCGAAACCGAGUGAUCUAGGCAUGACCAGGAUGAAGGUAAGGUAACACUUGCUGGAGGUCCGAACCCACACCUGUUGAAAAAGGUCGGGAUGAGUUGUGCCUAGGGGUGAAAGGCCAAUCAAACUCGGAGAUAGCUGGUUCUCCGCGAAAUCUAUUUAGGUAGAGCGUCAUCCGAAUACCCCGGGGGGUAGAGCACUGGAUGGGUAAUGGGGCCCCACAGGCUUACUGAUCCUAACCAAACUCCGAAUACCCGGGAGUACUAGAUGGCAGACACACGGCGGAUGCUAACGUCCGUCGUGGAGAGGGAAACAACCCUGACCUACAGCUAAGGCCCCCAAUUCGUGGCUAAGUGGGAAAGCAGGUGGGACGACCAAAACAACCAGGAGGUUGGCUUAGAAGCAGCCAUCCUUUAAAGAUAGCGUAACAGCUCACUGGUCUAAUCAAGUUGUCCUGCGGCGAAGAUGUAACGGGGCUCAAGCCACGAGCCGAAGCUUAGGAUGCCGUAAGGCAUGGUAGCGGAGCGUAGUGUGACAUAGAACUCGCCCUCUUCUGCAUCCUCCGGGAUGUAAUGGAGGGCAGGGUUCUUUCUGUGAAGCCCGGGCGUGAGCCAUCGGGUGGAGAGAUCACUAGCGAGAAUGAUGACAUGAGUAGCGACAAAGAGUGUGAGAGACACUCUCGCCGAAAGUCCAAGGGUUCCUGCUUAAAGCUAAUCUGAGCAGGGUAAGCCGGCCCCUAAGGCGAGGCCGAAAGGCGUAGUCGAUGGGAACCAGGUUAAUAUUCCUGGGCCAUGUGGUGGUGACGGAUCGCGGAUGUAGUUCUUCCUUAUCGGAUUGGGAGGGCUGCUGAGCGGUCCCUGGAAAUAGCCCCACUUUAGGACCGUACCCUAAACCGACACAGGUGGACUGGUAGAGCAUACCAAGGCGCUUGAGAGAACGAUGUUGAAGGAACUCGGCAAAAUACCUCCGUAAGUUCGCGAGAAGGAGGCCCGGUUCCUAGGCAACUAGGGGCUGGGGGCACAAACCAGGGGGUGGCGACUGUUUACUAAAAACACAGGGCUCUGCGAAGUCGCAAGACGACGUAUAGGGUCUGACGCCUGCCCGGUGCCUGAAGGUUAAAAGGAGGGGUGAGAGCUCCGAAUUGAAGCCCAGGUAAACGGCGGCCGUAACUAUAACGGUCCUAAGGUAGCGAAAUUCCUUGUCGGGUAAGUUCCGACCUGCACGAAUGGCGUAACGACUUCCCCGCUGUCUCCAACAUCGACUCAGCGAAAUUGAAUUGCCUGUCAAGAUGCAGGCUUCCCGCGGUUAGACGGAAAGACCCCGUGCACCUUUACUACAGCUUCACACUGGCAUCAGGCACAACAUGUGCAGGAUAGGUGGUAGGCUUCGAAGCAGGGACGCCAGUUCCUGUGGAGCCUUCCUUGAGAUACCACCCUUGUUCUGCUUGAUGUCUAACCGCGGUCCGUUAUCCGGAUCCGGGACCCUGUGUGGCGGGUAGUUUGACUGGGGCGGUCGCCUCCUAAAGCGUAACGGAGGCGCGCGAAGGUUGGCUCAGAGCGGUCGGAAAUCGCUCGUUGAGUGCAAUGGCAGAAGCCAGCCUGACUGCAAGACUGACAAGUCGAGCAGAGUCGAAAGACGGCCAUAGUGAUCCGGUGGUCCCAAGUGGGAGGGCCAUCGCUCAACGGAUAAAAGGUACGCCGGGGAUAACAGGCUGAUACUGCCCAAGAGUCCAUAUCGACGGCAGUGUUUGGCACCUCGAUGUCGGCUCAUCUCAUCCUGGGGCUGGAGCAGGUCCCAAGGGUACGGCUGUUCGCCGUUUAAAGAGGUACGUGAGCUGGGUUUAGAACGUCGUGAGACAGUUCGGUCCCUAUCUGCCGUGGGUGUAGGAUACUUGAGAGGAGUUGCCCCUAGUACGAGAGGACCGGGGUGAACGAUCCACUGGUGGACCAGUUGUCGUGCCAACGGCAGUGCUGGGUAGCUAUGAUCGGACAGGAUAACCGCUGAAGGCAUCUAAGCGGGAAGCCCCCCUCAAAACAAGGUAUCCCUGAGGGCCGUGGAAGACCACCACGUCGAUAGGCCGGAGAUGUAAGCAUGGUAACAUGUUCAGUUGACCGGUACUAAUGGCCCGAUAGGCUUGAUU